ACGCGAAAAGCGACAACGGCGUCGUUUUGGGCACGAAAAAAAAAGAAAGAAGGCGGAAAACAAGAGUGAAAGACAGAAAACGGCUGCUAAGGUCCCUGUUUUUUGCUACUUUGACCUCAUUGCAAUUUGGAGUCCAA
Caenorhabditis elegans is the source of this 137-nucleotide non-coding RNA. The record is from Ensembl. NCBI's taxonomy places the organism in Eukaryota, Metazoa, Nematoda, Chromadorea, Rhabditida, Rhabditidae.